AAACUGCGAUAAGUAGUGUGAAUUGCAUUUAGUGAAUCAUCGAAUCUUUGAACGCACCCUGCACUCACUGGUAUUCCGGUGAGUACGCCUGUUUCAGUAUCAUUGAAAACACACAAUCAAAACAUUUUCUUUGGUUUGAUUGGCUUUGGGUCUAUCAAAAAGUUUGGCUUGUUUCUUACAAGCCAAGCGGCCUGAAAUAUAUUGUCUGGCUAAUUGCAUCGUUGAUGAUCGCUAUUAGACUUUGGCUCUUUUAAAUGAACUGGAGGUUGAUUAACCAGUUUUAGCUUUAGUCAAAUGGUCAUUGUAAAAAAAAUCUCGAUCUUGGCUAGGUGUUUAUAGCCGAAAAUUUUUUUUUGGCUAUAACCGAAACCAAUAUAAUCACAUUUAGUUAUCGAUCUGAAAUCAGGUGGGACUACCCGCUGAACUUAAGC
This 431-nucleotide unclassified non-coding RNA is filed under the name plant metagenome. RNAcentral's name for it is "partial contains 5.8S ribosomal RNA, internal transcribed spacer 2, and large subunit ribosomal RNA". The stretch from base 1 to 102 matches the Rfam family "5.8S ribosomal RNA", at positions 50 to 154 of the family's 154-position model. The record is from RNAcentral.